Molecule: non-coding RNA, 176 nt
Organism: Pteropus vampyrus (large flying fox)
Lineage: Eukaryota; Metazoa; Chordata; Mammalia; Chiroptera; Pteropodidae
Source: Rfam
AGGAAUUUGCCCCACAAACAGAUUCCCCCAGUAGCCGACAGAGGAAACGAAAUCCAUGCUGAGUCUGUAGAUCCAUGCUGAGACCCCGUGCCUGGCUUCUGCUGGUGCCAUCUGUCACUGCUUUUUCUUCACUCCCGAGUUUGCCAGAAAUCUGGCUGGCUUUGUCUCUAAUCUGC